Molecule: ribosomal RNA, 424 nt
Filed under: uncultured bacterium
Lineage: Bacteria
Description: bacterial SSU rRNA
Rfam family: Bacterial small subunit ribosomal RNA
Source: RNAcentral
GAAUAUUGGACAAUGGGGGGAACCCUGAUCCAGCCAUGCCCCGUGUGUGAAGAAGGCCUUUUGGUUGUAAAGCACUUUAAGCGAGGAGGAGGCUACUCUAGUUAAUACCUAGGGAUAGUGGACGUUACUCGCAGUAUAAGCACCCGCUAACUCUGUGCCCGCAGCCGCGGUAAAACAGAGGGUGCAAGCGUUAAACGGAUUUACUGGGCGUAAAGCGCGCGUAGGUGGCCAAUUAAGUCAAAUGUGAAAUCCCCGAGCUUAACUUGGGAAUUGCAUUCGAUACUGGUUGGCUAGAGUAUGGGAGAGGAUGGUAGAAUUCCAGGUGUGGCGGUGAAAUGCGUAGAGAUCUGGAGGAAUACCGAUGGCGAAGGCAGCCAUCUGGCCUAAUACUGACACUGAGGCGCGAAAGCAUGGGGAGCAAACA